GUAGGUGGCAAGCGUUGUCCGGAAUUAUUGGGCGUAAAGCGCGCGCAGGGCGGUCCUUUAAGUCUGAUGUGAAAGCCCACGGCUCAACCGUGGAGGGUCAUUGGAAACUGGGGGACUUGAGUACAGAAGAGGAAAGCGGAAUUCCAAGUGUAGCGGUGAAAUGCGCAGAGAUUUGGAGGAACACCAGUGGCGAAGGCGGCUUUCUGGUCUGUAACUGACGCUGAGGCGCGAAAGCGUGGGGAGCAAACAGGAUUAGAUACCCUGGUAGUCCACGCCGUAAACGAUGAGUGCUAAGUGUUAGGGGGUUUCCGCCCCUUAGUGCUGCAGCUAACGCAUUAAGCACUCCGCCUGGGGAGUACGGCCGCAAAGGCUG
RNAcentral lists this ribosomal RNA (373 nucleotides) under uncultured organism. Its description in RNAcentral is "partial 16S ribosomal RNA". It matches the Rfam family "Bacterial small subunit ribosomal RNA", at positions 527 to 896 of the family's 1533-position model. The record is from RNAcentral.